This 561-nucleotide ribosomal RNA is filed under the name uncultured bacterium. RNAcentral describes it as "bacterial SSU rRNA". It matches the Rfam family "Bacterial small subunit ribosomal RNA", at positions 102 to 674 of the family's 1533-position model. The record is from RNAcentral.
AAGGGAGAGGAAUAGGUAGAAAUCUACCCUCGGGACGGGGAUAGCGGCGGGAAACUGCCGGUAAUACCCGAUAACAUCUUCGGAUCAAAGGUGUGAUUCCGCCUGGGGAUGAGUCUACUUCCUAUUAGCUUGUUGGCGGGGUAAUGGCCCACCAAGGCAACGAUGGGUAGCGGGUGUGAGAGCAUGACCCGCCUCACUGGGACUGAGAACUGCCCAGACACCUACGGGUGGCUGCAGUCGAGAAUCUUCGGCAAUGGGCGCAAGCCUGACCGAGCGACGCCGCGUGCGGGAUGAAGGCCUUCGGGUUGUAAACCGCUGUCGUAGGGGAACAAAUUUACGGGGGUUCUCCCCUGUAAUUGAGUGAUCCUAGGAGGAAGGAGAGGCUAAGCUCGUGCCAGCAGCCGCGGUAAGACGAGCUCUCCAAACGUUAUUCGGUAUCACUGGGCUUAAAGAGUUCGUAGGCGGCCUUGCAGGUGAGGUGUGAAAGCCCUCGGCUCAACCGGGGAACUGCGCUUCAAACCGCAAGGCUGGAGGGAGAUAGAGGUGAGCGGAGCAGAUGGU